UAACAAGCACUGUUAUCUGAGGAGG
RNAcentral lists this non-coding RNA (25 nucleotides) under Mus musculus (house mouse). The record is from RNAcentral. Lineage: Eukaryota; Metazoa; Chordata; Mammalia; Rodentia; Muridae.